GACGAACGCUGGCGGCGUGCUUAACACAUGCAAGUCGAACGGAAAGGCCCUGCCUUUGUGGGGUGCUCGAGUGGAGAACGGGUGAGUAACACGUGAGUAACCUGCCCUUGACUUUGGGAUAACUUCAGGACACUGGGGCUAAUACCGGAUAGGAGCUCCUGCCGCAUGGUGGGGGUUGGAAAGUUUCGGCGGUUGGGGAUGGACUCGCGGCUUAUCAGCUUGAUGGUGGGGUAGUGGUUUACCAAGGCCUUGAAAGGUAGCCGACCUGAGAGGGUGACCGGCUAAACUGGGCCUGAGAUGCGGCCCAGCCUCCACUGGGAGGCAGCAGUGGGGAAGGUUGCAUAAGGGGAGGAACGCAGAUGCGGCAACGCCGCGUGGGGGAUGACGGCCUUGGGGUUGUAUCCCGCUUCCGCUUGUGACGAAGCGUUAGUGACGGUACUGGGUAAAGAAGCACCGGCUAACUACGUG
This 468-nucleotide ribosomal RNA is filed under the name uncultured bacterium. RNAcentral describes it as "partial 16S ribosomal RNA". It matches the Rfam family "Bacterial small subunit ribosomal RNA", at positions 28 to 507 of the family's 1533-position model. The record is from RNAcentral.